This 386-nucleotide ribosomal RNA is filed under the name uncultured bacterium. RNAcentral describes it as "bacterial SSU rRNA". It matches the Rfam family "Bacterial small subunit ribosomal RNA", at positions 30 to 417 of the family's 1533-position model. The record is from RNAcentral.
AUUGAACGCUGGCGGCAUGCCUUACACAUGCAAGUCGAACGGUAACGGGCCUUCGGGUGCCGACGAGUGGCGAACGGGUGAGUAAUGCAUCGGAACGUACCUUUCAGUGGGGGAUAACGUAGCGAAAGUUACGCUAAUACCGCAUAUUCUGUGAGCAGGAAAGCAGGGGAUCGCAAGACCUUGCGCUGAUUGAGCGGCCGAUGUCAGAUUAGCUAGUUGGUGAGGUAAAGGCUCACCAAGGCGACGAUCUGUAGCGGGUCUGAGAGGAUGAUCCGCCACACUGGAACUGAGACACGGUCCAGACUCCUACGGGAGGCAGCAGUGGGGGAAUUUUGGACAAUGGGGGCAACCCUGAUCCAGCCAUGCCGCGUGAGUGAAGAAGGCCU